RNAcentral lists this ribosomal RNA (308 nucleotides) under uncultured bacterium. Its description in RNAcentral is "partial 16S ribosomal RNA". It matches the Rfam family "Bacterial small subunit ribosomal RNA", at positions 505 to 807 of the family's 1533-position model. The record is from RNAcentral.
GAGACAGCAGCAGCCGCGGGAAUACGGAGGGGGCUAGCGUUGUUCGGAAUUACUGGGCGUAAAGCGCACGUAGGCGGCUUUGUAAGUUAGGGGUGAAAGCCUGGAGCUCAACUCCAGAAUUGCCUUUAAGACUGCAUCGCUUGAAUCCGAGAGAGGUAAGUGGAAUUCCGAGUGUAGAGGUGAAAUUCGUAGAUAUUCGGAAGAACACCAGUGGCGAAGGCGGCUUACUGGCUCAUACUGGACGCUGAGGUGCGAAAGCGUGGGGAGCAAACAGGAUUAGAUACCCCGGUAGUCCCUGUCUCUUAUAC